RNAcentral lists this ribosomal RNA (527 nucleotides) under uncultured Arcocellulus. RNAcentral describes it as "bacterial SSU rRNA". It matches the Rfam family "Bacterial small subunit ribosomal RNA", at positions 96 to 653 of the family's 1533-position model. The record is from RNAcentral. Lineage: Eukaryota; Bacillariophyta; Thalassiosirophyceae; Cymatosirales; Cymatosiraceae.
UGGCGGACGGGUGAGUAACACGUGAGAAUUUGCCUUUAGGAGGGGGAUAACAGAGUGAAAACGCUGCUAAUACCCCAUAUGCUUUCGAGUGAAAUGGAUUUAUUCGCCUAAAGAGAAGCUCGCGGCUGAUUAGCUUGUUGGUAAGGUAAUGGCUUACCAAGGCGACGAUCAGUAUCUGGUUUGAGAGGACGAUCAGACACACCGGAACUGAGACACGGUCCAGACUCCUACGGGAGGCAGCAGUGGGGAAUUUUCCGCAAUGGGCGAAAGCCUGACGGAGCAAUACCGCGUGAGGGAUGACUGCCUAUGGGUUGUAAACCUCUUUUCUCAGGGAGGAAAUCAAUGACGUUACCUGAGGAAUAAGCAUCGGCUAACUCCGUGCCAGCAGCCGCGGUAAGACGGAGGAUGCAAGUGUUAUCCGGAAUCACUGGGCGUAAAGCGUCUGUAGGUGGCUUAACAAGUCAACUGUUAAAUCUUGAAGCUCAACUUCGAAAUCGCAGUCGAAACUGUUAGGCUAGAGUAUAGUA